UACGAGUGCCUCGAGCGUUAUCCGGCAUUAUUGGGCGUAAAGGGUGUGUAGGCGGUUGUGUUUGUCUUGUGUUAAAUCUACCGGCUCAACCGGUAGGCUGCAUGGGAAACGGCACGACUUAGAGGAUGGAAGGGGUCUGCGGAACUCAUGGUGUAGCGGUGAAAUGCGUUGAUAUCAUGGGGAACACCAAAAGCGAAGGCAGCAGACUGGUCCACUCCUGACGCUGAAACACGAAAGCGUGGGUCGCGAAUGGU
RNAcentral lists this ribosomal RNA (254 nucleotides) under uncultured bacterium. Its description in RNAcentral is "partial 16S ribosomal RNA". It matches the Rfam family "Bacterial small subunit ribosomal RNA", at positions 524 to 776 of the family's 1533-position model. The record is from RNAcentral.